Molecule: ribosomal RNA, 507 nt
Filed under: uncultured bacterium
Lineage: Bacteria
Description: partial 16S ribosomal RNA
Rfam family: Bacterial small subunit ribosomal RNA
Source: RNAcentral
GACGAACGCUGGCGGCGUGCCUAAUACAUGCAAGUCGAACGCAUUUUCUUUCACCGUAGCUUGCUACACCGAAAGAAAAUGAGUGGCGAACGGGUGAGUAACACGUGGGUAACCUGCCCAUCAGCGGGGGAUAACACUUGGAAACAGGUGCUAAUACCGCAUAAUUCCAUUUACCGCAUGGUAGAUGGGUGAAAGGCGCUUUUGCGUCACUGAUGGAUGGACCCGCGGUGCAUUAGCUAGUUGGUGGGGUAACGGCCUACCAAGGCUGCGAUGCAUAGCCGACCUGAGAGGGUGAUCGGCCACACUGGGACUGAGACACGGCCCAGACUCCUACGGGAGGCAGCAGUAGGGAAUCUUCGGCCAUGGACGCAAGUCUGACCGAGCAACGCCGCGUGAGUGAAGAAGGUUUUCGGAUCGUAAAACUCUGUUGUUAGAGAAGAACAAGGAUGAGAGUGGAAAGUUCAUCCCUUGACGGUAUCUAACCAGAAAGCCACGGCUAACUACGUG